GAUGAACGCUGGCGGCGUGCCUAAUACAUGCAAGUCGAGCGAACAGACGAGGAGCUUGCUCCUCUGACGUUAGCGGCGGACGGGUGAGUAACACGUGGAUAACCUACCUAUAAGACUGGGAUAACUUCGGGAAACCGGAGCUAAUACCGGAUAAUAUAUUGAACCGCAUGGUUCAAUAGUGAAAGACGGUUUUGCUGUCACUUAUAGAUGGAUCCGCGCCGCAUUAGCUAGUUGGUAAGGUAACGGCUUACCAAGGCGACGAUGCGUAGCCGACCGGAGAGGGUGAUCGGCGACACUGGAACUGAGACACGGUCCAGACUCCUACGGGAGGCAGCAGUAGGGAAUCUUCCGCAAUGGGCGAAAGCCUGACGGAGCAACGCCGCGUGAGUGAUGAAGGUCUUCGGAUCGUAAAACUCUGUUAUUAGGGAAGAACAAAUGUGUAAGUAACUAUGCACGUCUUGACGGUACCUAAUCAGAAAGCCACGGCUAACUACGUG
RNAcentral lists this ribosomal RNA (497 nucleotides) under uncultured bacterium. Its description in RNAcentral is "partial 16S ribosomal RNA". It matches the Rfam family "Bacterial small subunit ribosomal RNA", at positions 28 to 507 of the family's 1533-position model. The record is from RNAcentral.